RNAcentral lists this long non-coding RNA (361 nucleotides) under Panax ginseng (ginseng). Its description in RNAcentral is "long non-coding RNA (PGIN_LNC011894)". Lineage: Eukaryota; Viridiplantae; Streptophyta; Magnoliopsida; Apiales; Araliaceae. The record is from RNAcentral.
CUCAAAUCACAAUUCUUAUCUCUCUUCCCCCCUCCAUCGUUUCAAGCCUGGAAGAGCCAUCAAGCUGGUACCAUCCUCCUCCUUUAUCUAUACAUAAAUGAGUUUUAAUAAUAGAAAAUUCACACAUACAUAUAUAUAUUUGUUUAUAUACUCUUAUAUGUACAUGUGUGUGUUUACAGGGCGUUGAUUUAUGCUGAUCUGUGAAGAAAUUAAGAGUGAGAAAAUGAAUAGAUGCGCAUAUCAGCAGAACAACAACGCCUUUGCUUCUCUUGGAGAUUUCAGGAUGAGGGGUUCUUCUAUUUCAGACGGCAUCGUUUGCCCUAAACCUCGUUGCGUUGGUCUCUUGAAUCCUUCAAAUUAU